CCAUUUUUACUUUGCUCACUUGAGCCAUAUAUUGCGAUUGUAUAUACUUAUUUGUGGAUCUUGUUUGUGUUUGUGGUCUUAGGACCUUAAAAUACCUAAUAAACAACAAAAAACCCUAAAAGAAUAUUUGUGUGGACUAUUGGAUUUGAUCUGAGCUUUGGACUUAGAAUUAGACAACAUUCCCUAUGCAAAAGGACUUGGCCAAUGCCAACAUUUCUGAAACCAAGUUAUUG
Molecule: long non-coding RNA, 233 nt
Filed under: Lathyrus oleraceus (garden pea)
Lineage: Eukaryota; Viridiplantae; Streptophyta; Magnoliopsida; Fabales; Fabaceae
Description: Pisum sativum (pea) long non-coding RNA (PSAT_LNC026922)
Source: RNAcentral